Long non-coding RNA from Lolium perenne, 524 nucleotides. RefSeq lists it as uncharacterized. NCBI's taxonomy places the organism in Eukaryota, Viridiplantae, Streptophyta, Magnoliopsida, Poales, Poaceae. The record is from RefSeq and is a predicted model, not a curated record.
CGCCUCUGGAACACUCGCACCGACGGCGAACGGCGGCGCCGCGCCGUCACCUCGCGGCCGCGACCGAUACUGCCAGGAAAAGACGUGUUUAAGAUCGAGCCAUGUAGGAUAUGUGAUCAACGAGGCAGCAGCAUCCCGAGGGACUGCGUAAUUCAAUGCUGUCAUCGAUGUCGCGGUCAACUCGUGCACAUGAUUUGGGAGAAGAAGCAAGUGGAGGCCCAUUAUGUGAACAUGAUUUUUUGGAGAAGAAGAGCAAGUGGAAGGCAACAUGUGAACAUGAUUUCGGAGAAGAGCAAGUGGGAGGGCAAGACGACAGGAACAGAUUAAUGGAGGGGUUGCCUCUCUAUUUCAUAGAGAAGAGGCUCAAAAGCCCUUUUUUGGAACUUCGGAUCCCCUACAGGCUAGCUACAGGACUGCCAUGAGCUGCAUUCCUUUGCAUUUCUAGAUUAAGAUAUAUAUGAAGUAAGCAUGUUUGUAGUUUAAAACGGACAAUUAUUGUUGAUAUGAUAAGUGAGUGGUCGGUA